GAGUUGUGGAGGAGGGCUUUCACAACGUGCUGCAAUAGUGUGUUGUAGUACAUAGAGUUUAACAACGUGUAUUUACGGCACGUUGUUGAAACGAAAUUGAGAGAUUUUUUUGACAAUGCACCUUGGCUUCUUGUUGUAUAUUUAGUUCAACAACACGCAUCGCAUGUUGUCAAAACUAUAUCACUUUUUUAUAAUAAUUAAAAAAAAGGGAAAAAAAUUGAUCCAAAAAAAAAAAGCCAAAUUUUUUGCAGGAAAAACUCCCUCUCAUUCAAACAAAAAAAAGAAACUCACUUUCUCUCAAAAUCUGAAAUGUUCUAAAUAUUUGACAAGCUCUCUACAUCUUCUAAAAACUCUCUCUCUCCAUCGUCACAACCCAAUCUCCAAAUUUUUCUCUACUCUUAAAAAUUCCAUCAAAGACUCACAAAAUCUAAACUCUAACCAUCCCUCAAGCCUCCAUGGCAGAAGCUUGAAGCUCUCUCUCUAUCUCUCAUCAGUAACUUUUAGGGCUGGGCAUCUGAGUACUGCCCUCGCUGCCUACUCGAUGUCUCACGCCACUGCACAGACGCAGACCAUUGGCUCGCUCUGAUUUGGAGUUGCUCAUCUUCGAUAUCUGCAAUUGGGUAAUUGAGUUCCCUUUUAGUCCUGUUAUUGAAAAUUAGGGAUUAAUUUUCAUUUGGGUUAUGUUUGGUUUGUAGCUUAUUUAUAUCUUCGAUUUGCUUUAUAUGAAUUCUUGUGUAUAACAUAAAUUGUAAAUUUUUACAAAGGCAUGAACAGAUAAAGGGUUUUGGAAUGGUACAAAUCUCCUGGGUUUAUUUGUUUGUUUAUUUUCUGUUCUUUGUAUUUUCUAUGUUUUUCUUGUCUUGCCAUUUUGUUAAAUCUUGUGUGUUAUUUCUCCUUCAAAGGAGAGAUUUAUAAAGUACUAUAAGAGUCUAACUGAAGAAGAGACAUGUAUGUGUACAUGUAUACUAUUUAUUUUUAGAAUCAGAGGAAGAUGAGAAAGUACUAUGAGUAUUGUGUUAUCUUUAUCACUUCUAAACACUCCAAACUGAGCUCAAUACAACUUGUCUGUCUAACUUUAGUUAAAGUUUUCUACUUGAAGAAUUAUACGUACUGGGUUUUCAAGUUUUCUACCUGGUAUAAUAUUUAUUGUUACUGUAAUUAUACAUGCUUUUCUCAUGAGGUCCCAUUUUGGUGAUGGAUAGACAAGCAUGAGGAGAUGGAGGACUCAUGAGCCAGAGUUACAUCCCGACUUUGUACAUGGAGAUUUAUGGGAGUCUUUCAAGGACUGGAGUGCAUACGGUGCAUGGGUCACAAAAUGGGAGUGACUCUGUUAUGUACUAUGUUCCUUAUUUGUCUGCUAUUCAGCUCUAUGUAGACCCAUCAAAGCCCUCCACAAGAAUAAGGUCAACAAUAUUGUAAACACAAGACUUUCAAUCAAUUCAGUCUGUGAUUUUUCUGCUUAAGCACUCUGGAUUAUAGUUUAUGUUUGCAGCUGCUAACUCUGGUGCAAUGUUCAUUCCUUAAUGUUUCUGUUCAUCCUUUAUUGUGUCUAGUUUAUGGGUUCACAUAGAUGUCAUUUUUUGGGGAAAAUCUGGUGGAAAUUUGAAUUUAGUGACUGAAGCAGAUGGAGCAUGCUGUGCAUUUUGGUGUGAUUAAUUUUUUCAUUAUCAUUGUUGGAUUCCUUGCACUUCUAUUGAGGUUGUUAUAUAUGAUCUGUUUGUUGAGUCACUCUCUGAGAUUUAGUUGCCUACUUACCCUGAUUACAUCUGUCUAUUACAAUGUCCUGAAUCUUGGUUGUAUUUGUAUGUUAAAAUGUUCUAUUAAUGUCUUCAUUUACUGGCCCUUCACUUGUAGCUUAAAAACUGUUUUACAAAAUCCACCAUUUCUUUGAAUGGAAUGGUCAAGGCGAUUGUGGAUACCACUUGGUUGGUUGGGUUACAAUUUGUUUUAAAUGUUGCUGAAUCUUGCAGUAUAUGGGGAAAUGGAGGUGAUAAUAGGUAGUGGGAAAGAUGUAUUUUGAAAUUAGAUUGUGAAGAAGAAUUAUGGUAGUGUAAUGGGGGUUGGUCUGUUUAUCAGGUGAGGCAUCUUAUAGGCAGUGGAUGACAAGAUCUUUAAUGUGAUGCAUGGUGCGGUACUUGUAUAUAGUGUUACUUUGUGGUAAAGUGAAUGUCUUACAGUUUUUGGCAUAAUCUCACCUUGACUUGGCAAAAUGUUGCCCAGAGUUGCAUGCUAAUAGCUAGUCUGUACUAGAAUAGAUGUGUGCAGUAAAAUCUCCGAAAAGAAUUAUAUAUAUAUUCAUAGCUUUUCAUGGAGAUACAUUAUAGGUUAUGCAAGUAUUUCUUUUGACAGUAGACUUCUUAGCAAUUGGAAUAAUUUGUUAUUAUUUAUUUUAUUAUUUUGGUUAUAUCUAUUUUUUUAAUUUGCUCAUAGCCUUCUGGAUUUUUUUACCAGAUAACGACACGGGAGCAAAAUCACAAUCAAGUGAGUUUCCAUAGGUGCACCAUUCUUGCUUGGAUGCUCGGUUCUUGGAUCUCUUCA
RNAcentral lists this long non-coding RNA (2538 nucleotides) under Prunus dulcis (almond). RNAcentral describes it as "sRNA ncRNA". Lineage: Eukaryota; Viridiplantae; Streptophyta; Magnoliopsida; Rosales; Rosaceae. The record is from RNAcentral.